AGCACUCAUAGAAGGCAUCUUUGGUCACAUCGUCCUUCUCUUCCGUCGGGGCGUGGGCGCAGAUCAGCGAUAUGUUGAAGAACCUCGCUUUGAUGCGGAUUGUGGCUAGACGUUCAUUCACCGCAGUGAAUGAUAGUACUCGACGACGGAGUCUCUCUACUACCACGAAUCCAACACCAAACUUGCGCUCCUUUAUAUGGCCACUGUAGUAAAUGUCACAAGGACCUACUCGUCUCUGUCCUUGUCCCGUCCAUCGCAUUUCUUGGACGGCGGUGAUGUCAGCUUUUGUUUUUACGAGGACAUCAACCAGCUGGGCAGCGGCACCUUCCCAAUGAAGGGACCGGACAUUCCAGGUGCAUGCCCUUAAUUCGUAGUCCUUAUUUCGUUUGCCAUGGUCGUCAUCAAAAGGGGGGUCUCUCAUCCGAGGUUGCUGUUGGUUUUUCAUUGGGGUGAGCUUUUUACGUGGCGGGUCCCAAACCCAGCGCACAACCCUAUGUAGGGGAUAUUUCGCCUUCUCACUUUAGCUCGCCUUCGAACGGAUGUUCUUAGGCUACCCAGAGGAUACUUGGUCAAAGACCGGAAGUAGUGAGCUGCUUGAGCCAUGUGUAAAAGAAUCGCUUCUGGCCACUCCCAAGUGAAUGGCGAUCAGAGAACUUUCCUCACUUGCGUGAACUUCUACACAUGACCCCAUCCUCCUUUGUCGGCUUACCAGGAGAUAUUAUGUCAAUGUUAUUGUGCUUAUUUAUAAUAGUGUGAUACAGCUGUCGUCCUUUCGGAUUAAUUAGCCGUGAGCCCCAAUACAUGUGCUUUGCAUUGUAGUCUCCACCUGCUAGAAAUCUAUGGCCUAGUGUUCCAAAAAAGUCUUUAAAUUGAAUGUCUGUAAUUUUAAACCGAGGUGGGCAGUAUAUGGCCGUCAGAUUUAAGUCCCCACAGCGAUUUUUUAUAGUUAUUGUUGUAGCUUGUAAUUGCGCUGUGGCAUAAGAUUCUGAUGUGUGGUGAUUUAAACGUUUUCUAACCAACACUGCUGUUCCUCCAUGUGCCUUUCCAUCUGGGUGGUUUGUAACAUAGAGUCUAAAUCCCGGUAUAAAGAAAUUGUUUUUGUUCGUAAGAUGAGUUUCUGACAAUAGCAUUACAUCGAUACUACAUAUUUUCAUCCAGAAAUCUAAUAAGUUCCAAUUUAUGUUAGUUAACACCGUUAGCAUUCCAUAAACAAAUGUUCAAUACACUCAUUUUUUACUUAAAAAAGUUUGCAACAUUUGGUUUUGUGAUUUGAUUAUCUCUUGAAUCAUAUUUUACAUUGAAGCCCUAAAUUGUGUCAUACAUUGAGUAAGGUUUAGAAUCAUAGUUUCAGCGCUUCCAUUUGGUUGGUUUUGGGGCAAUUGCAUUUGUGUAGUAUUGCCUUUCACCACGUUUGCAUAACUCCCUUGUGUAGCAUUGUCUUUAAGAUUUACUGGUUUUGAAAUAUGGACGGGGAUUUUAAUAUUUUCAUUAGAUGGAAUAUUCAUCAUUUGGUUACGACGUGCUUGGAUGCCCUGUGACAACUUCGAUUUUAAAUCUUUGUAUACAGGGCAACCCCUGUAGUUAGCAGUGUGAUUUCCUCCACAAUUACUGAAUUUUUUUAUUUAAAUCCUUUCUUUUAAAAGUAUAUUUUGAAGUUGAAUGUAGAUCACCAAAUACUACACAGAUACUUCCUAAAGUGCAAUAUGCUUUCGUGUGUCCAUACUCUUGGCAGUUCAUUGUGGUCAUUGUGGUACAUUGUACUGGACCAUUUCUCUUGUAUGGUUCCUCAACGGUGAUUCUGCGAUGGAUAAAAUAUUUUAAAUUGUAAAUCGGGUGUAUUUCAUUUUUCUUUAAUUUGUUAGAAUCUGGCAUCAAUUCUAUUUUGAACAUUGGUUGUGGGACUUUGUUCCUGUUAAAAAUAUUUACUACUGAUUUAAUGCUAAAACCACCUUCUUCUAGUGCUUCUCUAUCGAAGACUCUAUACCUUUUAUGACAACAACUAGGCCUUUUGAACUCUUCAGUUGGUAAGAGUAGUAAUUCUUGUUAUUAUUUGAUAAGAAUUUUACAAUUUCCAUGAAACUUUUUUCAGUGUAUGUUUGAAUUUUUGUUCCAUCUAUGUUACCUUUUUUCAAGGGCACAAUGUGGAAAUUGUUUGUGCCUAUUAUAUUGCUCAUUUUUGAAACAAGCGCAUUUGAGCUACGCUCACGCAAAUAGAUUGGAGUGAGGUUUGGCAUUCACGACCGUGGUGGUACCCUUUGCUUCGUCGUUAUGCUCUUCUUUGCUUAAUAAGGCAAAUCUUGUGCCAUUAAGAAUUUCUGGCUUUUUGGUGUUUGGCGUGUUUGCUUGAAAUUUUUUGGUAUUGACCGCUGUUUUAAUAGGACUCAAUUUCCUUUUUACAUUAAUGUAGCGAUCAAUACCAGUCAGAACUGAUGGCCCUUUUUUGCUUGGUACAUUCUCACCUUGCAUAUUAUUUUCCUUCGCUGUCCGGGUGCUUGCUGGUACCUGCAUAGUGGCUGCUGUCAGUGGAUUUGUUGUUGCCGGUACCUGCAUGGUGGCUGCUGUCAGUGGAUUUGUUGCUGCCCGAUUGCUGUUUACUGCUGCUUCUGCUGACUGCGCUUGCUUAGUCUCUCUUUCAUCUGAUCGCUGCGAUGACUCAUCAUCGCCGUUGCAUUUGUUUUUCCAGGAGUUGCUUUUGUUGGCUUGACAAAACUGAAGUAGGCAUUUAAGGAAUGCCUACGGUUUUGCGGUUGAGGCUGCGAAGCACUCAUUAUUGUUUGUUUUUUGUUUUAUUUUUUUAUUUUUAUAUAUUUGUUUUGUGCACUAUUUGUUAAUGUUUAUUAUUAAAAGUUUGUGUGCGCUGUUUUUUAUUUGUUUCUUUGUUUUUAUUUAUUAUUAUUGUUUGCUUACUUUUUGCAAAAAUCAGAAUCACGGAGCGAAUUCAAAAACACGUCCGUACACUUUGAACCAAUUGAAUUGAAAUUGAAUUCUGUUUUUAAUAUAGCUCGUUAUAAUGUUUGUGAGUAAUUAAGGGGAUCAUAUUUCAUCUAGGGCUUUGAUUAUGUGUGCCCAUUUUGCCGUCUUGAACGCAUUCUUGACAUCCAGGAUAAUUAGCGCGGAGUACUUUUUUGUGCCACCUCUUCAUCUUUUGCCACUUACUGUACAUUUCGCUGUAUCGGGGACUUCUUGUAGUGGGUCAAUAGUGGAUCUCUUUUUUAUAAAACCGUAUCAAUUCUCUGAAAAUCGGCCAACUUUCUGGAUUGCUAACUCCAAAUGGUUUCUUAAUAUAUUUACGUCCACCUUACCCAUUGUAUCGAGCAUACUCGGUGGUCGGUACGAUGAAGGUUCUUCAGGUGGUUUCUUUGUUUUUGGGAUCAGAACCAAACGCUGUACUUUCCACGAGUUGGGGAACACCUCUUCCUUUAUACAAGCGUUGUACAUUUUAGCGAAUAAUUGAGGUUUUGAGCUUAUUGCUUUCUUCAGGGCUCUGUUGGGUAUCCCAUCCAAUCCAGACGCUUUGGUGUUUUUGAUUUUCUUUGUUAUGGGUAAUAGCUCUGUUUAAAUGAGUUAAGCAUCCAUCCACUCUACCCGGAAAAACUGGUACACACUAAUAAAGCUCUGCUCAAUCCUACCAAAGUCGAUGACACCACACUCGUACACAACACAACUCACCACACUACAUCAACCCACUCGGCAUAAAGGAUGGUCCCCUGAGCAGAUUCAUUACAUUCAUUUUGAUAAUUUAUAUUCAUACAUCACGCCGCGUCGACACCUCACGCUAUUCUCUUCCAAUUACUAAAUUCAACCACGAUCCCUGUCCCGGAAUUGGCAACGACAACAAAACGAAUAAAAAACAAUUUCAACAAAGACAACAGCAACAAACUAACGCGCGAUACCUAAACACAAAACAUCAACUAAAUAAUUAAUCAUGCGCGAAAAACUAAAACACCAAUAAAACAAACAAAAAAGAAACAAACGGGCGCGCACAUUACAACAAAUAUAAACACACACCAAGAAUGAUAGAGAAAGAGAUUACGCAAUGCGCAUGUUUGUUUUCAGUCCGCUGUUCUUGCUGACGUCACGGUUGACUUAUUAUUCGCCCGCGCCUUUGAAUGUAAAUUCGAAUUGUAUUUUCGCGCGUAGUAUUAAUUGUGAAAUUUUAUAUUUUUUAAAAUGAGUUGCGCAGUGUUCGGAUGCAAUAAUAACAGUGUUAAAAAUAGUGGUACGAAAUGGAGAUUUUCCCAUUUCCUUUAGGAUAAAACAGUACUAAAACAGUGGAUUCAUUUUUGUGCACUUCGCGCCAGAAGCCUUCGGCUUCGAAAGAAAUUUGCAGUUUGAAAUGGGUUUAAGUUCGCGGAGUCUAACGAAGUUGCCACCUAGCGCUUUUCUCACGUUAACCAGAUUAACUCCUGUAGAGGCUAAUGAACGGCAGAAAAGGAUGGAGUCUCGUUUAAACCAGGACGUUUUAGAAAAUUUGUUUGGCGUAAUUAGGUUAAAAGGCGGUCUUCACGAUCACCCUGACAGGAAGGAGUUGAAGUAUAGGCUGCCUUCCUAUAUACUUGGUCACAACGAAAGACCGAUUACAGAUGAAGGAAAUGUUGAAGUCGACAACACCCCAGAUUUCGAAGGGAAUUACAUAUGUAUCUCUAACCGGUAAUAUUUUUCAACGUGUGUCAGUUGAUCUAAAUUCCGCUGACCCAAUUGAAAAAAGUGAUGACUUGAAGAUUCUCAACAACGACAGGCUUGAAAAUUUGGCAGGGUACAUCUGCCACAAACUUGGUAAAGACAACCCCGAAAUUUGUGCCAAUUCAGAAAAUUGUUCGUCUUAUACUUGGGUAGAUCACCUAUCUGAAGGAGGACUUUCAAAACCAACAGAUAUGUUGAUGGAGCAUAUGAAAGCCUUGCAAGCAGUAUUUGACGACUGAAAUGGUACUGAUUUGCAUAUACAUACUAUGUAUGUAAAAAUUACGUCCAGAAGCACUUAGACUUAAGUAAUUUUGUAAAUUGUAGCGCCAAAGUAAAAUAAUUGUUUUCAGAGCUAGAAUGUGUUUUAGGAUUCGUUCCUUAAAUAAAAACGUAAUUGAAAAUAUGUACAGCAAAAAAAAAAAAUAAAAAUAAAUAAAUAAAUAAGACAAUAAAUUGAUAGUUGGUCACAAAAUCUAUAUAAAUAAAAAUGAAUCGUCAAAAUGUAUGUACGCUCAUAACUCAAUAACGCCUGGACCAAUUUGGCCAAUUCUUUUUCUUAAA
Bactrocera neohumeralis is the source of this 5244-nucleotide long non-coding RNA. RefSeq lists it as uncharacterized. NCBI's taxonomy places the organism in Eukaryota, Metazoa, Arthropoda, Insecta, Diptera, Tephritidae. The transcript is spliced from 3 exons. The record is from RefSeq and is a predicted model, not a curated record.